Molecule: ribosomal RNA, 448 nt
Filed under: uncultured bacterium
Lineage: Bacteria
Description: bacterial SSU rRNA
Rfam family: Bacterial small subunit ribosomal RNA
Source: RNAcentral
AAGCCAGACUCCUACGGGAGGCAGCAGUGGGGGAUAUUGCACAAUGGGGGAAACCCUGAUGCAGCAACGCCGCGUGAGUGAAGAAGUAUUUCGGUAUGUAAAGCUCUAUCAGCAGGGAAGAAGAUGACGGUACCUGAUUAAGAAGCCCCGGCUAACUACGUGCCAGCAGCCGCGGUAAUACGUAGGGGGCAAGCGUUAUCCGGAUUUACUGGGUGUAAAGGGAGCGCAGACGGCAGUGCAAGUCUGGAGUGAAAGCCCGGGGCCCAACCCCGGAACUGCUCUGGAAACUGUGCGGCUAGAGUACUGGAGGGGCAGGCGGAAUUCCUAGUGUAGCGGUGAAAUGCGUAGAUAUUAGGAGGAACACCAGUGGCGAAGGCGGCCUGCUGGACAGUAACUGACGUUGAGGCCCGAAAGCGUGGGGAGCAAACAGGAUUAGAUACCCGAGUAU